RNAcentral lists this ribosomal RNA (40 nucleotides) under uncultured soil eukaryote. Its description in RNAcentral is "partial 28S ribosomal RNA". The record is from RNAcentral.
UUGACCUCAAAUCAGGUAGGACUACCCGUCUGAACUUAAG